ACGCUCGACACCUACGGGAGGCAGCAGUGGGGAAUAUUGCACAAUGGAGGAAACUCUGAUGCAGCGAUGCCGCGUGAGGGAAGAAGGUUUUCGGAUUGUAAACCUCUGUCUUUGGGGACGAUAAUGACGGUACCCAAGGAGGAAGCUCCGGCUAACUACGUGCCGGCAGCCGCGGUAAUCUGAGCGGCUGGCAAGGC
RNAcentral lists this ribosomal RNA (197 nucleotides) under uncultured bacterium. RNAcentral's name for it is "partial 16S ribosomal RNA". It matches the Rfam family "Bacterial small subunit ribosomal RNA", at positions 328 to 539 of the family's 1533-position model. The record is from RNAcentral.